UAUUGGUUUGGGGUUAAAUUUUAUAAAAAAUUAAUAAGUUUUGUUUCUUAGUAUGAUGGAGAAUUUUGUUUAGAGAUUAUAGUUAAUAAGUACAGUGAUGGAAUUAUUUAAUAUUUUAUUAAAGUAGUGUUGAAUUUUCGUACCUUUUGUAUCAGGGGUCUACUAUAUAGUUGCGUUAUUUGUAAAUUCCCGAAACAGAGAGAGCUAAAUUUUAUUGCUUUUCUACGUUAUAAAGUAGUUUGAAAAAGUUUUUAGUGGUGAUAUGUUAGUCGGUCUUUGUAUAUCUGGUUCUUUACGAAAUGAGUUUAAUUUUGUACCAAGUUUAACUGUAAUUUGGUAAUAAAGGUAGGAGGAAUGAGCUUCUUAUCUGUUGUUUUUGUUAAGUACUUUUAUUGUAAGUCAUUAGAAGUGGGCUUAAAGUCAGCCAUCUUGGUAUAACGUUAAAGUAAUAAUGAUUUGUAUUUAUAUUUUUAAAGUAUCUUGCUGUUUUUAGUAAAGAAUUUCGUUUAUUGUUUAAGCGAAAGAUAGAAUGUUUAUAUAAGUAAAAUUAGAGUUUUUUUUUAAUCUUAAAUAAAAUAAAGUUUUUAAGUAUUAGAAGGCGUUUAGAAGGAACUCGGCAAAUAUUAUCUCCGCCUGUUUAUCAAAAACAUGUCUGUGUGUAUAAGUUAUAAAGUCUAGCCUGCCCACUGAUUGAUUUAAAGGGCCGCGGUAAUUUGACCGUGCGAAGGUAGCAUAGUCAGUAGUCUUUUAAUUGAAGGCUUGAAUGAAAGGUUGGACGAGGGAUGAGCUGUCUCCUUUAUGUAGUUUGAAUUUAACUUUUGAGUGAAAAGGCUCAAAUUAUUUAGUGGGACGAUAAGACCCUAUAAAACUUUAUAUAAGUUUAAUUUGGCUUACAAUUUGAGUGAAAAGUAGCUUUAUUAGGCUUAUAUUUCGUUGGGGAGAUGUAGAUAUAAUGUGUAACUGUCUAUUUAAUUUAAUAAUUAUAAUUAGUGUGUGAUCCUUCUUUGUGGAUUAAAAGUAUAAGUUACUUUAGGGAUAACAGCGUGAUUUUCUUUGAGAGUUCUUAUCGACAAGAGUAGUUGCGACCUCGAUGUUGAAUUAAAAUUUCAGUUAGGUGUAGCCGUCUAGCUGGUAGGUCUGUUCGACCUUUAAAAUUUUACAUGAUUUGAGUUCAAACCGGUGUGAGCCAGGUUGGUUUCUAUCUUUUAUUAAUUUGAAAAUGGCUUUAGUACGAAAGGAUUGAGCUUUUGAGAUAGUCUUAUUUUAAGAUAAACUUUAAUGG
This 1282-nucleotide ribosomal RNA is filed under the name Macrobrachium nipponense. Its description in RNAcentral is "16S ribosomal RNA". The stretch from base 849 to 1203 matches the Rfam family "Bacterial large subunit ribosomal RNA", at positions 2079 to 2642 of the family's 2925-position model. Lineage: Eukaryota; Metazoa; Arthropoda; Malacostraca; Decapoda; Palaemonidae. The record is from RNAcentral.